AAAGUCUGUUUGCCCAAGCCUCUGAGAGGGAUGAAGAUAUUGUUUUCUUUGAUCAGAUUAUGCCGGUAAAGGUUUUCUGGUUUACCCUAUAGGGCUUGUAGCUCAGUUGGUUAGAGCGCGCGCUUGAUAAGCGUGAGGUCGGAGGUUCAAGUCCUCCCAGGCCCCCCAGUUACACGAUGCUAAAAGUUGCUAUAUUGGGAGAGUUGAUAAUCCCUUACAGGAAAUUAUUGCCCUUAAUAAAACUUUAUUUUCUAAAAGCAUUCAGAGCUGACAUAGAAUAGAGCUGACAUAGAAUUGAGAAUCUGACAUAGGAAUUAUUGAAAUUGUUUUGGAAUUAUUGAAAUUGUUUUCUAUCAUUUUAAAAGGCUAAAAUAUUCUGUCUCUAUUUUUAAAAUAGCAUCAGGUGUUUUGUAAGAGUGUGAAGUUUUUAAGCUGUGAGGUUUUUUAUAUUUUAGUGUGACGGUUUUUAUAAGGGUAUGACGUGAGAGCGU
This 491-nucleotide unclassified non-coding RNA is filed under the name Bartonella clarridgeiae. Its description in RNAcentral is "partial 16S-23S ribosomal RNA intergenic spacer". The stretch from base 92 to 165 matches the Rfam family "tRNA". The record is from RNAcentral. Lineage: Bacteria; Pseudomonadati; Pseudomonadota; Alphaproteobacteria; Hyphomicrobiales; Bartonellaceae.